Molecule: long non-coding RNA, 1358 nt
Organism: Budorcas taxicolor (takin)
Lineage: Eukaryota; Metazoa; Chordata; Mammalia; Artiodactyla; Bovidae
Exons: 3
Source: RefSeq, a predicted model, not a curated record
GUGGACCUCGCAUCCCCAGAGGGUGGCUGGAAGCUGCUAGGAAGGGGCCCGGGCCGUGGCCAGCUCCCUCGGCGCCUCGGUCUGGCCACAGAGCAGACGCCCAGCCCACAUUUCAAAAUUUCUCUGUGAUGGAGAGCAGAGGCCCCUCCUCCCCACCACUUUCCAUGGCCACCACAAAGCCAGGAGUCAGAAAACCACGAGAGUCUGAAGCAGAGUAAUGGGACCUUGGGGCCAGUCCCCAUGCAGGAAGGGGAGCCACCCCAGCCCAAGCUGGCACUGGGAGGACAGAGGAGCAGCAUGGGACAGAAGCCCCGCUGUGGCCAGGGAACCAAGGAUAGAAAAGGACAACCGAGACUGCUGCUCCAGCUCCCACUUCUCCUCAAGCCCCCUGAGGGUGGAGGGCGCCCUUGAGAGAAGCUCAAAUGAUACCUGGAGUCUGAAGUCCAAGUUUCUAAGCUACCCUCUGACAAACGAGGCCUGAGAGACUGGGAGGUGUGGCCAAGGCUCAGGUCUAGUAUUGCCUCUCCGACCCCCAUUCCCAGGCAUUCAUAUGGAUGGUGUCUGGAGGUCAGGGGAAAGCUGGGGGUCCCAAGGGGCAGGAGAGUCACCCUAGGUCCAGCCAGACCCCUGGCGAGCUUCUAUCCACUCAAAAAGGAACCACAGCCACUUUUCAAGAAGUUACCCGUCUCAACAGAAAAGGACCACCAGCCACCUCCAAGGGGACCACGGAAGGCAGUGUGCUGGCCCAGCCCAGUGCCAAGUCCAGCCCUUCAGCUGUGAAUGCUCCCAGCCCCCAGGCAGGUGGAGGUCUCUCUCUCUCUCCCAGAGACCACCGACUGCUCCCCUCCAGCCCCAUCUCUGCCCACGUGUGCCCCUGCUGUACACGCCCAGCACAGGGACCCUCCCUACCCUGACCCUGGCUGUGAGAGCCACCAAAGUCCAGAGCCUCCCUCCUGGGGCAGCCUCACCACAGGGCUGGCUCCAGGACCCCUGCCCCCAGCAUCUCCAUGGCCGCAAGUUCUGAGGGAAGUUUCGCCACAUUCCCACCUGAGCCACGCUUUGUUGCAGGUCAGUCACGCCUUCCCCCCAGACCCCGCGGCCCCCACCGCAGCACCUCGACCCUCGUGCACCCCGGCAGUGACUGCAGGCACCGCUUCCUUGCAAAACGCCCGCAUGUCAAAGUUCUCGCAUCGCGGUUGGACGCGCCCUCCCGGCCCUGCUGUCUGCUGGCUCUGCAGUUUUCCAAAUGCGGACGAUGCCACGAGCCAAGAGAAAACUCCGAAGCACCCCCGGCUGGAGCCACGCGGCGCCGGCACCAUGGCUCCCCCUCGCCGCGGGCACACCCCCGCCGUGGCCGC